This 252-nucleotide ribosomal RNA is filed under the name uncultured bacterium. RNAcentral's name for it is "partial 16S ribosomal RNA". It matches the Rfam family "Bacterial small subunit ribosomal RNA", at positions 524 to 776 of the family's 1533-position model. The record is from RNAcentral.
UACGGGGGGGCAAGCGUUGUUCGGAAUUCCUGGGCGUAAAGGGCGCGUAGGCGGCCGAUCAAGUCGGGGGUGAAAGCCUGUGGCUCAACCACAGAAUGGCCUUCGAUACUGUUUGGCUUGAGACCGGAAGAGGUCAGUGGAACUGCGAGUGUAGAGGUGAAAUUCGUAGAUAUUCGCAAGAACACCAGUGGCGAAGGCGGCUGACUGGUCCGGUUCUGACGCUGAGGCGCGAAAGCGUGGGGAGCAAACAGG